This 88-nucleotide microRNA precursor is filed under the name Hippoglossus hippoglossus (Atlantic halibut). Its description in RNAcentral is "microRNA hhi-mir-430a precursor (hhi-mir-430a-2)". Its record names the gene hhi-mir-430a-2. The stretch from base 15 to 84 matches the Rfam family "miR-430 microRNA precursor family". Lineage: Eukaryota; Metazoa; Chordata; Actinopteri; Pleuronectiformes; Pleuronectidae. The record is from miRBase by way of RNAcentral.
AUCAAUUUAUCACCAAUAUUACCCUUGCACAAGCACCAACUUGAGUUUAGAAAACAGUAAGUGCUAUUUGUUGGGGUAGUAUUGAUGA